This 460-nucleotide ribosomal RNA is filed under the name uncultured bacterium. RNAcentral describes it as "partial 16S ribosomal RNA". It matches the Rfam family "Bacterial small subunit ribosomal RNA", at positions 338 to 795 of the family's 1533-position model. The record is from RNAcentral.
CCUACGGGAGGCAGCAGUGAGGAAUAUUGGUCAAUGGACGCAAGUCUGAACCAGCCAUGCCGCGUGCAGGAAGACGGCUCUAUGAGUUGUAAACCGCUUUUGUACGGGGGUAAACGCAGAUACGCGUAUCUGUCUGAACGUAUCGUACGAAUAAAGAUCGGAUAACUCCGUGCCAGCAGCCGCGGUAAUACGGAGGAUGCAAGCGUUAUCCGGAUUUAUUGGGUUUAAAGGGUGCGUAGGCGGGCGGGUAAGUUAGCGGUGAAAUCCCGAGGCUCAACUUCGGAAUUGCCUCUGAUACUGUUAGGCUAGAGAGUAGUUGCGGUAGGCGGAAUGUAUGGUGUAGCGGUGAAAUGCUUAGAGAUCAUACAGAACACCGAUUGCGAAGGCAGCUUACCAGGCUACAUCUGACGCUGAGGCACGAAAGCGUGGGGAGCAAACAGGAUUAGAUACCCGGGUAGUC